This 319-nucleotide ribosomal RNA is filed under the name uncultured bacterium. RNAcentral describes it as "bacterial SSU rRNA". It matches the Rfam family "Bacterial small subunit ribosomal RNA", at positions 7 to 315 of the family's 1533-position model. The record is from RNAcentral.
GAGGGUUUGAUCCUGGCUCAGGAUGAACGCUGGCGGCGUGCCUAAUACAUGCAAGUCGAGCGAACGGACGAGAAGCUUGCUUCUCUGAUGUUAGCGGCGGACGGGUGAGUAACACGUGGAUAACCUACCUAUAAGACUGGGAUAACUUCGGGAAACCGGAGCUAAUACCGGAUAAUAUUUUGAACCGCAUGGUUCAAAAGUAAAAGACGGUCUUGCUGUCACUUAUAGAUGGAUCCGCGCUGCAUUAGCUAGUUGGUAAGGUAACGGCUUACCAAGGCAACGAUGCAUAGCCGACCUGAGAGGGUGAUCGGCCACACUG